CUCCUCUGCCUCGCACGCCGCCACCGCUCGCCCUCGCGCCGCUGCCGCCUCCGCUUGCCCUCGUGCUGCUGCCGCCUCCACUUGCCCUCGCGCCGCCUCUUUGCUCCCGACUUCCCUAACCCUAGCCCCUUUCUACGCCACCGCCGCCGCCCGUUCCCUCUCCCUCCCCUGCCGUCGCGUCACCGCCUUCGCCGACUCGCCCUCCCCUCCUUCUCCCCCUGCAUAGCAGCAGGUCGAGGUGGUCGUGGCCGACCGCGCGCUCGCCGGUGCUGCCCGUGAGUGAUCCAUCGGCGACUUCCACCUUCUCCCUCUCCCUCCCCCUACCGCCGGCCUCUCCCUUGGUGGCGGCCAGAUCUACCAUGGCUACGGCCACAGACACGGACGGGGCUUCUGGAUCCGCGCCGCCGUCGAGCUGGGUCCCGACGGUCGCCUCCUUCUCCACAACCGGCGCCACACCCUUCGGUGGAUCGAUCCGGCACCAGGAACCGUGAACACCUGGCCCUUCUACCCCGCCGCCGGCGCCACUUCCUCGUGAGAUCCCGACCAUGGUCCGUUGUGGAUGUUGUUUGUUCUGUUUGUCGAGGCUUCGGUCAGCCCGCUGUCUGCUGCCGUGUCGAGAGGUUGCAAGGUUCCUGGUUGCGCGGAAAUGAUCCAUGAUCUGGUGGCGGGAAGCGGCUCCAUAUUGGUGAUUGGACCUCCUGGUGUAGGCAAGACUACUCUGAUCAGGUUGUUUGAUUGAUGCAUUCGUGCUCGUUGGCCGGGCGGUGCAAGGCGCAACUCCGACGCGGUUCCUCGCCGGUUGGCCGGCGUUCAGGCGCAACCCCGGCGCGCACUGAGUACUGCCUCGGCUACAACCUGCCUCGGUGAGGUCCAUCUUCCUCAUGCUCCUCUACUUCGGCUACUGUAUGGGACAUGGCCAUGGCUAUAUUGAUGUGCUGCUCGUCUGGUUGAUGCUCUAUGCCCUACUCAUGCAUUGGUUCCUACUUGAGCUCUAUAGUUGUGGAUCCAUGCCAUUUUAUGGUUUCCAGGCUGCUGUUCAUGUUUAGUUGCUAUCAUAGGAGCUCAUGUGAUGCUCUGGUUUACAUGUGGAUGCCCUGGUCCUAUAGCUAUGCUCCUGGAUUUGCUAGAUUGAUGAGUGGCGUUCGUGCUAGGGCGAUGAUGAUUAAUCGUGGCUGAAAUAAGUGUGCCUUUGAGCAAUCGUGGCACCUGUGUGUAACAGAUUGAUCUGGUGACAAGAGAUGACGGGGGUAGGUUAUAUGAUCGAGGAAAGGUGAAUCUGAGCCCACUAUGCAAUGAACCCUGAAUCCUCAGAGCUCAAGAAACGGAGGGAGCACCGGACGCUCUCAGAGUUUAGCAUCCCCUUGUUAGAGUCUGAAACAAAAUGAAGCUCCCACGUUCGUUUGGAUUUUGGACCGUUGGAUCGAGCUCCCUGACGCGUAAUGGUCGUCGGAUCGCGGGUUCGGCUCACGUGAGACGUCCGAUUUUACCAGAUCGUCGUGAGCCGUUAGAUAAAAUUCGCACGACUGUAGGCUUGCCACCGCGUGUAAAACUAGAUGGCUGCGGAGGGCAUUUUCAUCAUUUCCCAUGGUUGAAAAAAUAUCCAAUCGCCACAUGGGUGUGACCUAGCCGUCGCUCCUCGACAUUCGCUCGUCCCACCUCCUCCUCUCCCUCUCUCGAUCUCCUCUGCCUCGCACGCCGCCACCGCUCGCCCUUGCGCCGCUGCCGCCUCCGCUUGCCCUCGCACCGCCUCUUUGAUCCCGACUUCGCUAACCCUAGCCCCUUUCUACGCCGCCGUAGGUUAUAUGAUGUUGCUUAUUUAUUCUCAAGUGGUGUUCAUGCUUGGGCAAUGAUGAUUACCUUGGCUGGAAAUAGUGUGCCUUUGAGCAAUCGAGGCACCUGUGGGUAUCAAGUUGGAUCCUCCCUCUUGUCUCUAGAAUCCAUUUUGAUCCUGUGAUACUUGUUGUUGUCUUUGGAUGGUCAUUCUUGUUGUGUGAUAACCAGGGCAGCUCCACUGUAUAAACAGAUUGAUCUGGUGACAAGAGAUGAUGGGGGUAGGUUAUAUGAUCGAGGAAAGGGGAAUCUAAGCCCACUAUGCAUUGAACCCUGAUCAUUUUUAUUUGUAUUUAAAGUUGUUACAUAUUUUGUGUUACUGUCUUGGCGCAAGGGUGUCGGGUCCCAACAUUUUACUGUCCAGGGUUUAGCUUGUAGUGUCGUUUUUGAAAGACAGUAACACAAGAAGGUCUUAUCCGACUCCAUAAUUUUACUGUAUGAGACAGCCGGUAUAAUUUUCAGUUUGUAGAGCUCUGUGGUUCCCUGUUUUUCUGUUGUUCUAUUUUUCUAUUGCUGCUCAGAUCCAUGUUGUCUUGAAUUGUAAAGUACAACUACAAGUUCAAACCUGGACAUUUUUAGAGCCUGAACAUUUUCAGUUAGUGGCUCAAAACUGCUCCACUAGAGUAGACAUUUAACUUAAUCAAUUUACCAUCUAGACAAAUACUCCUAUUAAUUCCAUCUGAGGAGUAGACAUUUAACAUAAGGUAGCCCCAUUUUAAUUUAAAUGUAGUCUAUUUUUGUUGCAAUAGCCCAUUAGAGUGACUUAUCGUUCAUGAGCGGAUCCUUGUUUUAAUGUGUUUGAUUCGAGGCGCCACCUCCCUAUGGCCACGGCGCCUUCUCCCGGGCUCUCUCGGAGGUGAACUAUAGCGACAUCUUGUGCGUGGUGGUCAAGCACGAUAGCGCUGAUGGGUGUUGUCUCCGUCGACUGGAGAAGCGCAGGUCGCGGCUCACGCCGCUACUCUACUGGGGUCAUCAGCCUUUGUACUCGUGUUGUGCGUGCACCCAGUGAACCAACAGAGUCGUGGAUGCUGUGAGCGUUGGGUGCUGUGUCCCUCGGCUGAGCGGCAAGCCAGAGCUGCAAGUUGUUGAACAUGGGGUGCUAUUGUGAUAUCUCAUGCCUCACGCUCUAUUUGUGGAUUGUUGUUAAGGAAGUAUCUAUUCAGGCCUGUUCAGGGGAUAUUGCAUGAUCAAGAUCACUUUGUUCACUACUGAUUUCAUAAGGCCUAACAUUGGGCUAGAUUUCCUGUUCUGUAUGAUUUAACUCCGUUGGCUCUGCUCCCUUGCCCAACUGAUAUGCCUGAAAAGUUCACAGAGGUUGUUCAGUACCAUAGUGCAAGCAGGGCUGAACCAUCGACUAAGAGGCUCAUAUAUGUCAAGAACCUCACAUAUGCAAGCAAACCAGUGUGGUGCUCUGGGAUCAGAUUGCCUUGGCAUUUGCUGCCGAUGAAGUUAUUGAGCUGGGCAAGAAAGAACUGGUGGUUGCUACGUUUGUUGUGACGCUGUUCAAGAAAUAUGAAGUUUUGAGAUUGGCCUUGAUAGCUGGUUAUCAUUGUACAAGACAUCUUAGCAUUAUGGCAGAACAAUUAUUAUGCGUCUAUCAAUGAUAACAAUGAUACCUGAUUGAAGAUUAGGUGGUCUACAAUCCUCAGGUUCUCCAAAACUAUAUCUCAAGCCUAUCAACUCUGAAAAUUAAAGGUCGCCACCAUGCUGUCUCUCUCUGGCCGCCCCUCACGUCGUCUUGGUUUGUUGGUUGCCGCUAUGUCUCCUGCCGGUUCGCCCGCCGCUAUCGCUCGAAGGGUUGUAUAGGCCGUCGCUUAUG
This is a long non-coding RNA of Triticum aestivum (bread wheat), 3649 nucleotides long. RefSeq lists it as uncharacterized. Lineage: Eukaryota; Viridiplantae; Streptophyta; Magnoliopsida; Poales; Poaceae. The record is from RefSeq and is a predicted model, not a curated record. The transcript has 11 exons.